UACGGGGGGGCAAGCGGUUGUUCGGAAUUACUGGGCGUAAAGGGCUCGUAGGCGGCCAACUAAGUCAGACGUGAAAUCCCCAGGCCUCAACCUGGGAACUGCGUCUGAUACUGGAUGGCUUGAAUCCGGGAGAGGGAUGCAGAAUUCCAGGUGUAGCGGUGAAGUGCGUAGAUAUCUGGAGGAACACCGGUGGCGAAGGCGGCAUCCUGGACCGGUAUUGACGCUGAGGCGCGAAAGCCAGGGGAGCAAACGGG
RNAcentral lists this ribosomal RNA (254 nucleotides) under uncultured bacterium. RNAcentral's name for it is "partial 16S ribosomal RNA". It matches the Rfam family "Bacterial small subunit ribosomal RNA", at positions 524 to 776 of the family's 1533-position model. The record is from RNAcentral.